This 83-nucleotide transfer RNA is filed under the name Schistocephalus solidus. It matches the Rfam family "tRNA". Rfam says of the family: Transfer RNA (tRNA) molecules are approximately 80 nucleotides in length. Lineage: Eukaryota; Metazoa; Platyhelminthes; Cestoda; Diphyllobothriidea; Diphyllobothriidae. The record is from Rfam by way of RNAcentral.
GGCAUUGUAGCUCAAGUGGCUAGAACGUUGGCUGUUCUUAAGCCUUCAUCUUCCUUUCGUGGGUUCGAAUCCCACCGAGGCCG